CGAGAUCGCCGAGCUCACCGAAGCUGGCUUCCAAGUUCAGCCACUCUUCCAAAAGCAUUGCUCUUUCUUCUUUCAAUUCGGGGGCGGAGUUUCUGAAAUAGCUUAGGGAUCUUUCGAACACGGCUGGUCGAGGGAUGAAAAAGUUCCCUCGUCGGAAGCAGAGGCCUCAAACUUGGCGUAACUAAUCCACACCUUCAAAUGUUUCGUGCGAUCUAAAAGCCUCUCGUAGAGUGCUCUGGUUCUACCAAACUCCAAUUCCGAUAUUUCGAAAUCUAUGUACGCCUGUCGUGAAACAAUUAGAUCAGGAAUGAUAUAGCUAUUGAGAUCGAAACAGACCAUGAAGAAAACCAAAUCGAAAUUCUUGAUGUCGGAAGGAUCACUUUCAAGUAAAUACUGGCAAUUAUAAAUUUAAUUAUACGAUAUACGGAAAAGCUCUAUACAGAAAGUGCUUUAAACGUGAGCUGAAUACCUUCCAUAGAAGUUCUGGCAUGUCUAGCGCAGGUUGGUCGAUUGCAAGCUCAAAAAGUGCUCUUGCUCGUUCGGUUUCUGCCAAGGACCUCUCCAGCUCGGCGUAUUUGGUCCAAGCAUAACAGUUCUCUGGAGACCACUCCAAGUAUUUUUCGUAUAGUUUCCUGCAUCGUUCGAUGUUGCCGAGUUGCAGCUCUAUCUCGAUGUACUUCUUAAAUAUCUGUUGAUAAUAUGUAAUUAUUGUGACGAGAAAUAGAAGACCAGAAAUCCAGAAUAAAACAGACAAUCUAAUGAAAUGUUAUUUAUUGA
Long non-coding RNA from Andrographis paniculata, 777 nucleotides. RefSeq lists it as uncharacterized. NCBI's taxonomy places the organism in Eukaryota, Viridiplantae, Streptophyta, Magnoliopsida, Lamiales, Acanthaceae. The record is from RefSeq and is a predicted model, not a curated record. The transcript has 2 exons.